CUUUUCUCUCUAUUGAAGAUGUGACGUCCUCCACUGUCGCCGCCGCUCGCGUCGCACGAGCUCCCUCCACCGAUGCUCUCAUCGCAUUUGCAACCUUCGUCGCCAUCGUCACACGAGCUCUCUCCACCGUGCUCUUAUCUUAGGAGCUCCUUCCGCCGCCGCUCUCAUCACUACUUCUUCUCUUCUCGUCGCCGUUAGUUUAGAAUACGAUCGAGGAGAGCUCUUAUGUUUGCAAAUCAGCUAUGGCUGCUGCAGAGAACGAAGUUUCUAAAUUCUAAGGUUCUGGUCCGAGGUUAGUUGCAGUUUCAAUUAGUUUUGGUGGGAUGCUUAUAUUUGCAAUGAUGCUUGGACUUGUCUCUGAUGCCAUUUCUGAGAAGUUCGACUCACUGAGGAAAGAAAAAAGUGAGGUAGUUGAGAAAAAUCAUACUUUGAUUCUUGGCUGGAGUGAUAAAUUGAACUGGGAGCUCACUGAUUCUGGCUGAUCUUAAAAAGGUAUAUGACUCUUGCAUGCAAUGAUGUACCUGUGACAUUUUUUUCUAUGUCAUUUUUAUCUCUCAUUUUGGAAACCAUCAUUAAAAGAUUGUGAUUCAUUUGCUAGCUUUAUAUUAUAAAUCGAAG
Molecule: long non-coding RNA, 618 nt
Organism: Arachis stenosperma
Lineage: Eukaryota; Viridiplantae; Streptophyta; Magnoliopsida; Fabales; Fabaceae
Exons: 4
Source: RefSeq, a predicted model, not a curated record